GAUAAAGGCUUAGUUGAGUGGAGUAUAAUGUAAAACUUCAGGGCGAAACCAAGAGUGUUACCCAUCCUAGAAAUGCCCUAUAAUUGCUCAAUGUUUUUAUCUUUGUAACCGCUUAGCUAAUUUACAUGGUUUGACGCAUUACUGUCCGUUAUCUCCCCCCAAAUGGCAGAAAUUUCAAAAUAAAAAUCUUAACCAAUGAACAGGGACAAAC
Molecule: unclassified non-coding RNA, 211 nt
Filed under: Hevea brasiliensis (rubber tree)
Lineage: Eukaryota; Viridiplantae; Streptophyta; Magnoliopsida; Malpighiales; Euphorbiaceae
Source: RNAcentral